This 72-nucleotide transfer RNA is filed under the name Camelus ferus (Wild Bactrian camel). It matches the Rfam family "tRNA". Rfam says of the family: Transfer RNA (tRNA) molecules are approximately 80 nucleotides in length. Their secondary structure includes four short double-helical elements and three loops (D, anti-codon, and T loops). The record is from Rfam by way of RNAcentral. Lineage: Eukaryota; Metazoa; Chordata; Mammalia; Artiodactyla; Camelidae.
GAGGGUUUAGCUCAGUGGUAAAGUAUGAGCUUGGCAGGCAUGAGGUCCUGGAUUCAAUCCCCAGUACCUCCA